RNAcentral lists this long non-coding RNA (293 nucleotides) under Vigna radiata. Its description in RNAcentral is "long non-coding RNA (VRAD_LNC008875)". The record is from RNAcentral. Lineage: Eukaryota; Viridiplantae; Streptophyta; Magnoliopsida; Fabales; Fabaceae.
ACGUAAUGCAUCAUAGCAAGCUAUAUGAACCAGUCUUAGAUUGAGAAACUUAACACACAAUGUAGUUGGUAUAGCAAGUGAUAUGAACCAGUCUUAGAUUGAGAAACUUAACACACAGUGUAAUUGGUAUAGCAAGCGAUAUGAACCAAAGACACUUGAUGUGUGUUAGAGGUUUAUCAAUCACAAUACACCCCCACAAUCCCUGUUGUUAUCGUUGUGUUGCGCUUACUAGGCCAUGCGCGUGCCCAGAAUUCAUGAGUGCUCUAGAGAUCAUUCCAAGAUCUCAUGCAAGU